AACUCUAGCCUAAAAGCCCAAA
Molecule: non-coding RNA, 22 nt
Filed under: Arabidopsis thaliana (thale cress)
Lineage: Eukaryota; Viridiplantae; Streptophyta; Magnoliopsida; Brassicales; Brassicaceae
Source: RNAcentral